GCUUGCUCUCGGGUGACGAGUGGCGGACGGGUGAGUAAUGUCUGGGAAACUGCCUGAUGGAGGGGGAUAACUACUGGAAACGGUAGCUAAUACCGCAUAAUGUCGCAAGACCAAAGAGGGGGACCUUCGGGCCUCUUGCCAUCAGAUGUGCCCAGAUGGGAUUAGCUAGUAGGUGGGGUAACGGCUCACCUAGGCGACGAUCCCUAGCUGGUCUGAGAGGAUGACCAGCCACACUGGAACUGAGACACGGUCCAGACUCCUACGGGAGGCAGCAGUGGGGAAUAUUGCACAAUGGGCGCAAGCCUGAUGCAGCCAUGCCGCGUGUAUGAAGAAGGCCUUCGGGUUGUAAAGUACUUUCAGCGGGGAGGAAGGUGUUGUGGUUAAUAACCA
Molecule: ribosomal RNA, 390 nt
Filed under: Enterobacter cloacae
Lineage: Bacteria; Pseudomonadati; Pseudomonadota; Gammaproteobacteria; Enterobacterales; Enterobacteriaceae
Description: bacterial SSU rRNA
Rfam family: Bacterial small subunit ribosomal RNA
Source: RNAcentral